Molecule: ribosomal RNA, 488 nt
Filed under: uncultured bacterium
Lineage: Bacteria
Description: partial 16S ribosomal RNA
Rfam family: Bacterial small subunit ribosomal RNA
Source: RNAcentral
UGGGGAAUCUUGCGCAAUGGGCGAAAGCCUGACGCAGCCAUGCCGCGUGAGUGAUGAAGGCCUUAGGGUUGUAAAACUCUUUCACCGGGGACGAUAAUGACGGUACCCGGAGAAGAAGCCCCGGCUAACUUCGUGCCAGCAGCCGCGGUAAUACGAAGGGGGCUAGCGUUGCUCGGAAUUACUGGGCGUAAAGGGCGCGUAGGCGGAUCAGCAAGUUGGGGGUGAAAGCCCGGGGCUCAACCUCGGAAUUGCCUUCAAAACUGCUGAUCUAGAGUACGGGAGAGGUGUGUGGAACUCCGAGUGUAGAGGUGAAAUUCGUAGAUAUUCGGAAGAACACCAGUGGCGAAGGCGACACACUGGCCCGUUACUGACGCUGAGGCGCGAAAGCGUGGGGAGCAAACAGGAUUAGAUACCCUGGUAGUCCANGCUGUAAACGAUGAUUGCUAGUUGUCGGCAGGCAUGCCUGUCGGUGACGCAGCUAACGCAUU